AGAUUGAACGCUGGCGGCAGGCCUAACACAUGCAAGUCGAGCGGCAGCACGGGUACUUGUACCUGGUGGCGAGCGGCGGACGGGUGAGUAAUGCCUAGGAAUCUGCCUGAUAGUGGGGGAUAACGCUCGGAAACGGACGCUAAUACCGCAUACGUCCUACGGGAGAAAGCGAGGGGACCUUCGGGCCUUGCGCUAUCAGAUGAGCCUAGGUCGGAUUAGCUAGGUUGGUGGGUAAUGGCUCACCAAGGCGACGAUCCGUAAUGGUCUGGAGAGGAUGAUCGAGUCACACGUGGAACUGAGACACGGUCCAGGACCUCCGUACGGGAGCAGGCAGGUAGGGAACUUAUGGAACAAGU
Molecule: ribosomal RNA, 356 nt
Filed under: uncultured soil bacterium
Lineage: Bacteria
Description: bacterial SSU rRNA
Rfam family: Bacterial small subunit ribosomal RNA
Source: RNAcentral